RNAcentral lists this ribosomal RNA (253 nucleotides) under uncultured bacterium. RNAcentral's name for it is "partial 16S ribosomal RNA". It matches the Rfam family "Bacterial small subunit ribosomal RNA", at positions 524 to 776 of the family's 1533-position model. The record is from RNAcentral.
UACAGAGGGGGCAAGCGUUGUUCGGAAUUACUGGGCGUAAAGGGCGCGUAGGCGGGUGCUCAAGUCCGGGGUGAAAUCCCACAGCUCAACUGUGGAACUGCCUCGGAUACUGGGUGUCUCGAGGGUGGCAGGGGUAUGCGGAACUAUCGGUGGAGCGGUGAAAUGCGUUGAUAUCGAUAGGAACUCCGGUGGCGAAGGCGGCAUACUGGUCCACUUCUGACGCUGAGGCGCGAAAGCCAGGGGAGCAAACGGG